RNA transcript from Nomascus leucogenys (northern white-cheeked gibbon), 1031 nucleotides. It is a transcript of the gene named mitochondrial import receptor subunit TOM20 homolog pseudogene, with no coding region annotated. The record is from RefSeq and is a predicted model, not a curated record. Lineage: Eukaryota; Metazoa; Chordata; Mammalia; Primates; Hylobatidae. The transcript has a single exon.
GUGUUCCUGGCCCGCGGCCGUCGGGUGUGAACUGCGCCAACCGCUCUGAGGGUUCGUGGCCCACCGCUCCUUCGCGGUCCCUGCCGCCACCGUCCACACUCAGCGUUGUAGAGAAGAUGGUGGGUCGGAACAGCGCCAUCGCCGCCGGUGUAUGCGGGGCCCUUUUCGUUGGGUACUGCAUCUACUUCGACCGCAAAAGACGAAGUGACCCCAACUUCAAGAACAGGCUUCGAGAACGAAGAAAGAAACAGAAGCUUGCCAAGGAGAGAGCUGGGCUUUCCAAGUUACCUGACCUUAAAGAUGCUGAAGCUGUUCAGAAGUUCUUCCUUGAAGAAAUACAGCUUGGUGAAGAGUUACUAGCUCAAGGUGAAUAUGAGAAGGGCGUAGACCAUCUGACAAAUGCAAUUGCUGUGUGUGGACAGCCACAGCAGUUACUGCAGGUCUUACAGCAAGCUCUUCCACCACCAGUGUUCCAGAUGCUUCUGACUAAGCUCCCAACAAUUAGAGAAUUGUAAGUGCUCAGAGCUUGGCUGAAGAUGAUGUGGAAUGAGAAACAAAUGUCAACAUAAUAAAAUCUCAGUUAAAAAUAUUUUAAAAAUUCUUGGUAGUUGAGCAGCUCUGGGGGAAUAAGCGCAAAUAUGCUUGUUAUGAACUACGCUGAAAAUCUACCAAAGUUAAUGUUUACUUUGUGUAGAUCCAUUUGUCUACUUUAUUUAUUUUUCCCAGUGAAAAUUGUAUUUUGAUAGAGAACUUUUCAUUCUAUAAAUACACUAUGAGUUACUAAAAUGUCAUGGAUUUUGUUUAUUCCUGAAACAUAGUUAAACUGUACAUAUGACGUGGCUUAUGUUAAAAAUACCCAGUGCUCAGUUUUGAAAGAUAGGCAAAAAAAAAAAAAAAGUAUAGGAGAAACUGAAGAAUGUACACUUUUUUAGGGGGCACAUUUUGCUGUAAAUCUGGAAAUUUGAUAAACUUGAUUGUGUUUGUGAAAACUGAGCAUUAAAGGUUUUGAUUGACCAUUUCUUUCCAUUUAA